UGCCUCUAAGGCUCAUUGACUUUACUCUCCAUUUCUUCUGCUUCUCCAGCAUCAGAGUGACAGUGGAAAGUACCUUGGGCUUUGUGGUCAGAAGAGCCCAGCUCCAGGGCAGUGUGUUUCCUGAAGCCAUGUGACCUUGAGCAAAUCGCUUUUGUCUUUGACCCUCUGUUUUCUUCUGGGUUAAUGAAAAUAGGGGCGAUGCUUCUUUGCCACAGGUUCAUGACUGCCUGCCACUUCCUCUCUGUUCUCCUGCCUCCUCUGUCUGGAAGACAUGUCCAGUUUCCUCCACUCCUGGAUUCUCCUUGCUUUUGUCCUCAGACCAUCAGAUUCAAGAGAGGCAGUGCAGGUGGAUGGCAAAGGGACCCGGAUACAAAAAGCUGAGUCAGGCCCCGGGCCAGGGCUAACCAUGCGCAGGGCAGAGUCCCUG
Molecule: long non-coding RNA, 427 nt
Filed under: Homo sapiens (human)
Lineage: Eukaryota; Metazoa; Chordata; Mammalia; Primates; Hominidae
Description: LNC_000522
Source: RNAcentral